GUGGGGAAUAUUGCACAAUGGGGGAAACCCUGAUGCAGCAACGCCGCGUGAGUGAUGACGGCCUUCGGGUUGUAAAGCUCUGUCUUCAGGGACGAUAAUGACGGUACCUGAGGAGGAAGCCACGGCUAACUACGUGCCAGCAGCCGCGGUAAUACGUAGGUGGCAAGCGUUGUCCGGAUUUACUGGGCGUAAAGGGAGCGUAGGCGGACUUUUAAGUGAGAUGUGAAAUACCCGGGCUCAACCUGGGUGCUGCAUUUCAAACUGGAAGUCUAGAGUGCAGGAGAGGAGAGUGGAAUUCCUAGUGUAGCGGUGAAAUGCGUAGAGAUUAGGAAGAACACCAGUGGCGAAGGCGACUCUCUGGACUGUAACUGACGCUGAGGCUCGAAAGCGUGGGGAGCAAACAGG
This 405-nucleotide ribosomal RNA is filed under the name uncultured bacterium. RNAcentral's name for it is "bacterial SSU rRNA". It matches the Rfam family "Bacterial small subunit ribosomal RNA", at positions 354 to 776 of the family's 1533-position model. The record is from RNAcentral.